AGUUCCGGGGCGCCGUCAGACAUCGCUGCGGCCGGGAUAGGGCGCCGCCGUUCUGGCCGGCUUUCUCGGUGCCCUGGAGGACCUGGCCGGCUCCGCGGGAAGCUGUACUCAGAGCGCGCGGCCGCCCUCUGGCAGGGAGGAGUUCGUUGCACUUUUGAGGGUUCUUCACGAAGACAUCCAAUACAUAGAAAACAAGUAACAGCAACAGUAACGAAUUUUUAAAUAUUAAAAUUGCUGGGGAACACGACGGAUCCUGCAGCUGCUCGGCUGUCCCGGUCGUCAGUGACGCUAGGGCUCCGCACCGUACCCUGCAUACCGUAGGUGCUCACGAAACGUUCGUGAGUUCCCUGCUCUGAGGAAACAAGCUUAAAAACUCAGAAUCUAAGGUGUGAGUCUCCGCAAACCUGCUUGUUGGGCAGCGUCCCCCGCCCGGGCUAGCCCUGCACGCCCCACCCCGGAGCCACGCUUCUCCAGCCGGGACCCCUGCCUCCUUCCAGGCUAUUCUCGGAACCGCAGCCAGAGGGAAUUUUUUUUUCCUUUCCUGAAACGUAGAGCAGAUCUGGUUACUCUUCUGCACAACGCCCUAAAAUCUAGGGCCCUUCCCAUCCCUCAGAAUUUACAUCUAAUUCUCAGCUCCCCUCCGGCUUGCUGUAGCCAUCCUGGCUUUUGUUUAGCACAGCACUUACUGUUAGUGACAUUAUAUUGUAUAUUAUUAACAUAUUUGUGUUUUACAUCCCUCACUAGACCCCCAGGAAAGAGGCUUUGAUGUGUUGCCUGCUGCAAGGCUGGCUGCAUAAUUUGUGGAGCUCAGAGAAAAGUGCGGAGCUUCCUUGUUCAAAAAACAGAAAGAAAGUGCCUCUGAGGUCAUAAAAUAUAAAACUUUCUCUUUCCUCUCAGUUUCUCUCUUUUCAUAGUGUUUUUAUGUGUUAUUUAAUAUCAUUCCAAGAAAAAUUUAGAUUUAAAUUGUUAGCAUGAAGUUCACCAUCCAUCUUUACGUUGUGCAAUGCCAGUUUUAAAUACUAAUAUAAGUGCACUGAUCUCAUAUGUGGAAUCACAGAAAUUAUGCAAUUUGUACUUCAUAGCUUAUACAUGCAUAUAGAUUUUGUUUUUACCAGAACCACGCUGGUAAAAACAGAUGCUGCACAAAGUGAACUUGCCCGUUUUCAUCGCACUUUACGUGCACGAAUUCUACCUCUACUCUCGACCUGGGACUCACCGAUGCGUAAGGAAGGACUGAAAAGCAAAAGAACUAUGGACUGGCCUUUUGGCAUGAUCAGGUGUCUAAUAUAAAGAAGUGCAUGAAUAAGAAAAUAUAUGAUAUGAGUGAUGGUUAAUACUGACUGUCAACUUGAUUGGAUUGAAGGAUGCAAAGUAUUGAUCCUGGGUGUGUCUGUGAGGGUGUUGCCAAAGGAGAUUAACAUUUGAGUCAGUGGGCUGGGAAAGUUCGACCCACUGUUAAUCUAGAUGGACACCAUCUAAUCAGAUGCCAGUGCAGCUAGAAAUGUAAAGCAGACAGAAAAAUGCGAAAAGAGAGACUGGCCUAGCCUGCCAGCCUACAUCUUUCUCCCACGCUGGAUGCUUCCUGCCCUCGAACAUCAGACUCCAAGUUCUUCAGUUUGGGACUUGGACUGGCUCUCCUUGUUCCUCAGCUUGAAGACUGCCCAUUGUGGGACUUGUGAUCAUGUGCCAUGAUAAAUAAGCCAGUUUGAGUCACUUGGUCUAAUAUCGAGACCACGAACAUAUUGAUCACAGAAUGUGUUAGGAUAACAGAAGUUCAAGAGGAAAGGACAGUGAGAGACCAUGACUAAAGAAUUACUCCGUGAACAACUCAGGAGGACCAGCUAUGAUUUCACUCUCAUUCAAAAAAGAGAAAUAAUAUUUCUUUCAGCUGCUACCCAUAAAAUAUUUUUGAAUGUGUGUACAAUGUUCAUGCUGUAAUGGCUGCUCUAUCAUGAAGGAUGUGUUGACACCUCGUGGGUGGCUUUUCACAAUCCCCUUGGACACAGAUUGGGGGAUUGACGGCCCCAUCCCCUCAUUUUCCACACCGAGGGGCAGUUGGGAUAUGCAUAAAAUCUUGUUCUCUAGUUAGGACCUGUUGCUAUAAAUCUAGCAUCAAGAGUAUCACUAUUUUCUAAACACUUUGCCAGACAGCCUUCGGAGUAUAAUUUUCUGAAGUUUAUAAAGCAUAACUCAUACACACACCUAGUGACCAUGUUCUGAAGGUAUAUUUAACUCCUGCAUGAGGGAACAGGCAGGAUGAAAGUGGGUUCUAAGGAAGAGACUAGCAUAUAUGAUCAACGGGGAAAAAUGAAGAGUAAGCUUGAAACCGCCUUUGCAAAAAUUAUAACCGAGGAGAUUAUGACAGUGAAGGAGAUCAGACCUAACCGACCCCAUCUUGCUUCUAACCUUUAAGCUGUCCUUGUUCAUUCCUGGGUGUAGGCCGAACUAACUUUGGGAAGGAAUUUGUUCGUGGUUUGACUCUGAAACAAAAAAAUUGAUAAUAGCCCUUUCCCGAAAAGACCGCCUUCUUGCCUGGGGACCAGUCUGCCUUUGCAGGACCAACAAAUUAACUACGAGAUUAGAAAUUACAGUUUAGGGGUCCUGCAGCCUCUGACUCCAAGAGUCUGACCCUCCCCACAUUGCUUCUGGGGAUAACAUCACUAUUAUAAAACCUAAGAUCAGUGCUUGAGAUAUUUUGCAGACCCUGCACUGGAUGGAUCAGCUGACACCACCCAGACCCGUAAUCUGGAUCAACCAGUUCUGCCAUCCCACCCAGGAACAGAAGAUGCAAGAAAAACUCACUUUGACCCUCUAUGAUUCCAUCUCCAACCUGACCAAUCAGUACUCCCCACUUCCCAAGCCCCUGCCUGCCAAAUUAUCUUUAAAAACUCUGAUCCCCGAAUGCUUGGAGAGGCUGAUUUGAGUAACAACACAACUCUGGUCUCCUGCACAGCCAGUUCUGUGUGAACUACCCUUCGCCCAUUGCAAUUCCCCUGUCUUGAUAAAUUGGCUCUGUCGAGGCAGUGGGCAAGGUGAACCCACUGGGCAGUUACAAGACUGCAAAGUUAGAAACAAAACUGGCAAUGCCCCAUGGGUCAAAAAUAAUCAAUUAAUUCAUAACAUUUGACUUGAUUAAGUUUUCUACUGGACAGAAACAAUUUGCAACUUAUCCUUCCUCUACAUUGUUUGACUGCCAUGUCAAUUGUAAGUAUUAGAUCAAAUUUUAAAAUAAUUAUUUUAGAGCUUCAGAUGCACCUUACAUGGGCUUGUUAGAUUGUUAGACACUGCUUAGUGACAUUGAAAGAGGGCACAAUACUUUUUUUGCCUUAUUUCUAAGUUGUGGGUAUCCUUUUCUUAACACUUCUUUUCUGUGAUUCUAUGCAAGACAAUCGUUGAUGAAAUGGGAUUUUCUGGAUGGAAAGUCCGUGUACUUUACUGAAACCUCUUUCUACAGUUCUGUCUUUCAAGUGGGAUUCUGUGAGCUGACUCAUGACAGCUGAGCAUCAUCGGAGAUUGGCUUCAAUGGUCCUCAAUGUGCAGAACAUAAAUAGCAAUUUCUACCAUCAUUCAAUAGCAUUUGUGGGUCCUUUUAUAUGGAGUAUAUAAAAGUAUUUGCAGGUCUUGGUUUAUCUGUCCCCACGUGACAUACCUAUAGAACAGGUAUUUUCAUCCCAGCUACUUAUUAUAAAUAUUUAAUAAGUAGGCUAAUGGUUUGGAAUUCUAUUUCUCUAUUUGCAUGAGUCAAAUAAUAGACCAAAUUCUUUCAAAAAGAGGAGAUGUUAACAUACCAAAAGAAACUGAAACAAGAGCAUUGAACCCACGGUGCCCUUCAGAAACACCUGCCAACAAUGGGGCAGAGUGUCCAGCUGCCUGGACAGUGUGUGCAGGGGCGGGGCCCUUCCUGUUCACAAUGGCUUUGCCUGGCAGUUAAAAUGCAAAUGGAGGGCAGACUGAGAGUGCAUCACCCUCUCACAUCUCAGAGUCUAAAAGGCGGCCUUUCAGUGCCUUCUGUUCAAAUUGCAAAUGCUCUUCCUUUAUCCCCCAAGGCCUGGGAGACAGUUCUGAAUAAUUCUUCCCCAACAAAUUGGCUUUCCUCUUCCCAGCAACAAAAGCCCUUAUUGGUUUUAAAAGUGCAAAGAACAAAUUUUAUUCAAGGGUCUUAAGGCAGAUGAAGGUUCACAGAAACUACAAGGGCAGUUCCAGGGCCUCCACGUACGACCGUGUCCCUAUAACGACUGGUCCUUAUAAGAGGCCAGCAACAGUAUCUUAUUUUCCUGUACAGGCCUGGGAUUCCCAGUAAUUUCUUUGCAUUGGCUUUGUAAGCACAAUUACCCAGAGUUUCCGAGAAUUGGGACAUUUCCAAGAAAUUGCCCAAUGGGUCAGUGGAGUGCUGUCAAAUGAGAUGGACCAUCUUAAAAUCAAAACGUGGGUGGUUUCUGCUCAUUGCUGAGCAUUUCACUUCCAUUCUGAAAAGUCUAAGAACGUCACUCCAGGAGAUACAAUGUCAAGGGCUCCCGCCACUCUUCAUCAUUGCCCAAGUCAUAAGAAUCAUCCCCCAAAUUCCUUCUAUUUCUCCAAGGUAGGGUAACCCAGGGCUGGGUAAGCCUGUUAGGGCAGGUCAGGUUGGCACAUACCGAGGAGGAACUCAGACAGACAGACAGCGCCAGGGGACCAGCGGCACUGUGUGCUCAUCACCACCCUCAGGGAUUCAAGGGCCUUGUCCUGGUACCUGGGUCACCUUCUGAAAUAAGUGCUACUGAGGUUCAUGGCCAAGACCCUUCCAGGAAAUUCAGAAGGAGGUUGGCUUCAGUGGGAAAGUAGUCUGUGACCCAGAAGGUGUUUAUUCAACAAGGUGCAAGCUGACAACAUGUUUCUUUGCUCUGGACACUGGAAUUAAA
This is a long non-coding RNA of Homo sapiens (human), 4898 nucleotides long. Ensembl annotates it as COPS8 divergent transcript. Its record names the gene COPS8-DT. The record is from Ensembl. Lineage: Eukaryota; Metazoa; Chordata; Mammalia; Primates; Hominidae.